This is an RNA transcript of Chenopodium quinoa (quinoa), 2393 nucleotides long. It is a transcript of the gene named 4-diphosphocytidyl-2-C-methyl-D-erythritol kinase, chloroplastic-like, with no coding region annotated. The transcript is spliced from 13 exons. NCBI's taxonomy places the organism in Eukaryota, Viridiplantae, Streptophyta, Magnoliopsida, Caryophyllales, Amaranthaceae. The record is from RefSeq and is a predicted model, not a curated record.
UAACAAAGGUAAAUAAAUAAUUUAGAUUACUCAUAGUAUCAUAAUCAUUGGAUAAUCAAAUAAUUCCAUUGAAUCAGAUUAUUUCUAGCUGAGCUCGCUCGUAAAUUCGGCGAAUAAAUAGUUGGUGGGGCCAAACUUUGUACAGCUAGGAAAAGAAACGCUUCAUUGGCAAAAUUGGUGACACCAACGAUGAACUGAGUGUAGAAGCCCCUUUGCUUCUGCUAACAAAAAUGGCUUCAGUUCAUCUUCUUCACAGUUCAAUUCUCUUCAAUUCUUUCAAUUCAACAAAAAGAAAUGAUUUUUCUGCUUUCAAAAUUCAUGGGUCUCCUUCUAUUAACCAGAAACAUAAUCUUCGAAAGUACCCAUCUUUCAAAACCAUGUCAUCUGGGGAUAGAAGACAAUUAGAGAUAGUGUAUGACCCAGAAGAAAGAUUGAAUAAAUUAGCAGAUGAAGUGGAUAAGGAAGCUGGUCUUUCUAGGCUCACUCUUUUCUCACCUUGUAAGGUGAAUGUGUUUUUGAGGAUAACUGGAAAAAGGGAGGAUGGAUAUCAUGAUUUGGCGUCUCUAUUUCAUGUGAUAAGUUUGGGGGAUAAAAUAAAAUUCUCUUUGUCGCCUUCAAGGACCAAGGAUAGUUUAUCAACAAAUGUGGCUGGAGUUCCCCUUGAUGAUAAAAACCUGAUAAUUAAGGCUCUAAACUUGUAUCGGCAGAAGACAGGCAGUGACAAAUAUUUUUGGAUUCAUCUUGAUAAGAAGGUUCCUACAGGAGCCGGGCUUGGAGGAGGAAGUAGCAAUGCUGCUACUGCACUUUGGGCAGCGAAUCAAUUUAGUGGUGGUAUUGCAACAGAAAAAGAACUUCAAGAAUGGUCAAGUGAAAUAGGUUCUGAUAUUCCUUUUUUCUUCUCCCGUGGAGCUGCAUAUUGUACUGGAAGGGGUGAGGAAGUUAAAAAUAUCCCACCACCCAUACCUUUGGAUACUCCAAUGGUCCUUAUAAAGCCACAAGAAGCAUGCUCCACUGCCCAAGUUUACAAGAGCCUUCGUUUGGAUCAAACUAGCAAGGUUGAUCCUCUAUCUUUAUUAGAGAAAAUAUCGAGAGAAGGAAUCUCUCAAGAUGUAUGCAUCAAUGAUUUGGAGCUUCCUGCAUUCGGAGUUCUUCCAACUCUGCGAAGAUUGAAACAACGCAUAAUUGCAGCCAGCCGCGGACAAUAUGAUGCUGUUUUUAUGUCUGGAAGUGGAAGCACCAUUGUUGGGAUUGGUUCUCCUGAUCCACCACAGUUUCUCUACGACGAUGAAGCAUACAAGGAUGUCUUCUUAUCUGAGGCUACCUUCAUCACUCGAGAAGAGAAUCAAUGGUAUUCAGAACCUUCAAGUAGUUCUACCGGCUCAGUUGCUGAAUUUUCCCGGCCACUUAGUGAUGGAAUUACACAGUAACAUGAUGUUGCUGAGAAAUGCUGGGACAUGUCUCUUGCUGCUUCAGUGAAUUUCGAGGUGACUUUCAGAAAUUAUUUUUCGUUGUAUAGAGCAAACCUAUCCUUCACUGUUGAAUGAAGGUUAGUAUACUUCAAUGAAAAUCUUCUCUCUGUAACAUUUGUUCUCCCAGGUCACACAUCAGUUAUUUUUGUUACCAUAAAGUCAUGAACUGUACCUCUUAGAGGAAGAGAAAUAAGUAAUUUCUCUUCUUAUUUUGAAAUUUGUUUAUUCUUUUUACCUAUAUGUUGUGUAGAACAUAAGGUGAUAGUAUGCAAAAUCAUAUGCUAUGAGCUUUGGAAAUAUCCUUGAGACUCGAUCUGAUGAUGAUUAACAUAAUCAAACAAGAAAAGUCAAAAACUUCAUAGGAAAUAGAGAAAGUGAGACAAACAAGUGUGUUAAGGUGGCGAAGGAUGAAUCUAUCAGAAAAUGGAAAAAAAGGAACAAGAAAAUAGAGUAUGGCAGGCAUUAUUAUGCAGUUAUCAUGCAUGCUACUUGCCGCUGAAUGCUGGGAAUUCUCGAUCAUUCAAUGCUGGAGAACAUCCGUUUGCUGAGUGCAAACUUGAGGUGCUCGUGGAUAAUGAAUCCCUCAGCUUCACUAUCAACAUCUUCUUCUUGCUUCUUUCGUGCACCAUUAUGAUUUCUCUGUAUGAACUGUUCAGCUUCAGCAUUAAUGUCUUCUCCAUAUUUGAUGUUCCCAGUUCUCCAGUCUCUACUCGAAUCAUUAGGAGGCUCAUCUUUGUGUUUCUUUGGCAGGGAAAAUAGGUGCGAGAAAUAAGCAUCAGUUUCAUUCAAGCAUGUGUAUGCUGAAUGCUUCUGUGGAUCUGUGACACAGACCUUGUCCUAGAAAUUUUUCAAGAAUUGGUGUAUUACACGUGGAAUCUUCAACUCAAACCUAUUUUCCUAUUGUCUAUUGAUAUACUUCCUCCA